GAGCGCCUGAUCUCUCACAUGAUAAAACAUUAAAUUAACCCUCGGCCCCUCAGAGUCAGAGUCCCGGACGAGAGUGAGAGCAGAUCUGAGAAAAUGAGGGAUGAGAAACAGAGAGGUGGUCUGGAAACCCUAACAAUGGCAUUGGCUCUGUGAUCGGAGCCUUCGUUGGAGAUCAGAGACAUGAGCGUGAAGAAAGAGAGAGACGACGGGGCAUGAAGAAAAGCUCCUCCAAUGCGAUUCUUGUUUUGCGAGGUUUAACGCCUCGAUGGCCGCCAUUGAUCCACGAUCGGAUCCGUUCAAGAGCUCACUGUUGAAAUCGUGUAGUAAUUAACACCAAGACCAGAGAUCUGAUGGGGCUAGGUACAUUCCCUGUCAGCUUGCUCAAGAUGCGAUAGAGUGCGAUGUGGAUUGAUAGGCACUGACAGCGGGCCUUCCCUUAUCUUUAAGGAUAUCUAAAACCAGAGGCUACCAGGAUUUCGCCUCAAAUGUCCGUUUUGUUUUUUUGAGUGCGGCGGAUUGUAGUUAUUACUUGUAUUGUAUACAUGGUUUUCUUUUUCUUUUGAUA
Prunus mume (Japanese apricot) is the source of this 565-nucleotide long non-coding RNA. RefSeq lists it as uncharacterized. The record is from RefSeq and is a predicted model, not a curated record. NCBI's taxonomy places the organism in Eukaryota, Viridiplantae, Streptophyta, Magnoliopsida, Rosales, Rosaceae.